This 561-nucleotide ribosomal RNA is filed under the name Lodderomyces orthopsilosis. RNAcentral describes it as "Candida orthopsilosis partial large subunit ribosomal RNA". It matches the Rfam family "Eukaryotic large subunit ribosomal RNA", at positions 80 to 658 of the family's 3401-position model. Lineage: Eukaryota; Fungi; Ascomycota; Pichiomycetes; Serinales; Debaryomycetaceae. The record is from RNAcentral.
UUAGUAGCGGCGAGUGAGCGGCAAAAGCUCAAAUUUGAAAUCUGGCACUUUCAGUGUCCGAGUUGUAAUUUGAAGAAGGUAUCUUUGGGUCUGGCUCUUGUCUAUGUUUCUUGGAACAGAACGUCACAGAGGGUGAGAAUCCCGUGCGAUGAGAUGACCCAGACCUAUGUAAAGUUCCUUCGAAGAGUCGAGUUGUUUGGGAAUGCAGCUCUAAGUGGGUGGUAAAUUCCAUCUAAAGCUAAAUAUUGGCGAGAGACCGAUAGCGAACAAGUACAGUGAUGGAAAGAUGAAAAGAACUUUGAAAAGAGAGUGAAAAAGUACGUGAAAUUGUUGAAAGGGAAGGGCUUGAGAUCAGACUUGGUAUUUUGUAUGUUACUCUCUCGGGGGUGGCCUCUACAGUUUACCGGGCCAGCAUCAGUUUGGGCGGUAGGACAAUUGCAAAGAAAUGUGGCACUGCCUCGGUAGUGUGUUAUAGUCUUUGUCGAUACUGCCAGCCUAGACUGAGGACUGCGGCUUCGGCCUAGGAUGUUGGCAUAAUGAUCUUAAGUCGCCCGUCUUGAA